ACGGCGAGUGAAGCGGCAAUAGCUCAAAUUUGAAAGCUGGCCCCUUUGGGGUCCGCGUUGUAAUUUGUAGAGGAUGAUUCGGCGAGGGCUCCCGUCUAAGUCCCCUGGAACGGGGCGUCAUAGAGGGUGAGAAUCCCGUAUGUGAUGGGUUGCCUUAGCCAUGUGAAUCUCCUUCGACGAGUCGAGUUGUUUGGGAAUGCAGCUCUAAAUGGGAGGUAAAUUUCUUCUAAAGCUAAAUACCGGCCAGAGACCGAUAGCGCACAAGUAGAGUGAUCGAAAGAUGAAAAGCACUUUGGAAAGAGAGUUAAAAAGUACGUGAAAUUGUUGAAAGGGAAGCGCUUGCAGCCAGACUUGUCCGCAGUUGCUCAGCCGGUCUCCUGACCGGCGUACUCUUCUGCGGCCAGGCCAGCAUCAGUUCGGGCGGUCGGAUAAAGACCUCGGGAAUGUAGCUCCUCUCGGGGAGUGUUAUAGCCCGGGGUGGAAUGCGGCCAGCCUGGACUGAGGAUCUCGCUUCGGCUAGGAUGCUGGCGUAAUGGCUGUAAGCGGCCCGUCUUGAAACACGGACCAAGGAGUCUAACAUCUAUGCGAGUGUUUGGGUGUCAAACCCAUACGCGUAAUGAAAGUGAACGGAGGUGGGAACCCUCACGGGUGCACCAUCGACCGAUCCUGAUGUCUUCGGAUGGAUUUGAGUAUGAGCAUAGCUGUUGGGACCCGAAAGAUGGUGAACUAUGCCUGAAUAGGGUGAAGCCAGAGGAAACUCUGGUGGAGGCUCGCAGCGGUUCUGACGUGCAAAUCGAUCGUCAAAUUUGGGUAUAGGGGCGAAAGACUAAUCGAACCAUCUAGUAGCUGGUUCCUGCCGAAUUUU
Molecule: ribosomal RNA, 865 nt
Filed under: Dothiorella sarmentorum
Lineage: Eukaryota; Fungi; Ascomycota; Dothideomycetes; Botryosphaeriales; Botryosphaeriaceae
Description: eukaryotic LSU rRNA
Rfam family: Eukaryotic large subunit ribosomal RNA
Source: RNAcentral